This 256-nucleotide ribosomal RNA is filed under the name uncultured bacterium. RNAcentral's name for it is "partial 16S ribosomal RNA". It matches the Rfam family "Bacterial small subunit ribosomal RNA", at positions 521 to 776 of the family's 1533-position model. The record is from RNAcentral.
UAAUACGUAGGGAGCAAGCGUUGUCCGGAAUUACUGGGCGUAAAGGGCGCGUAGGCGGGAAUUUAAGUCAGAUGUGAAAUCUCCGGGCUCAACCUGGAGCCUGCAUUUGAAACUGGAUUUCUUGAGGGCAGGAGAGGAAAGUGGAAUUCCUAGUGUAGCGGUGAAAUGCGUAGAUAUUAGGAGGAACACCAGUGGCGAAGGCGACUUUCUGGACUGUACCUGACGCUGAGGCGCGAAAGCGUGGGGAGCAAACGGG